AUGGAAGGCCCAGUGUCUAUCGCAGAAGGGGCUCUGCUGACCAUCAACUGCUCCUAUACAGCCUCAGGCUACACUGUACUUUUCUGGUAUGUCCAGUACCCCACAGAAGGUCCACAGCUUCUUCUAAAAGCUGUGAAAGCCAAUGAGAAGGGAAGAAGCAAAGGAUUUGAAGCCACAAAUGAUAGAGCAGCCAGCUUCUUCCACUUGGAGAAAGCCUUCGUGCAAGUGUCAGACUCGGGGGUAUACUACUGUGCUGUGAGUGACACAGUGGCAGGAGCUGUAGGGGGAGCUGGGCGCAAACUCUGA
This is a non-coding RNA of Octodon degus (degu), 306 nucleotides long. The record is from the annotation of a RefSeq genome assembly. Lineage: Eukaryota; Metazoa; Chordata; Mammalia; Rodentia; Octodontidae.